AGUAAGUGAACACUUAAUAUUCACAUUAAUCUUCUUACAAAGUAAGCACAGGAGGUGAAAAUCAUUACUAAAUGGCUUUUCGGACCAAUCAAACUCUCCUUUUGGGCCUGCUAUGCAUUGUUUUGCUUUUGGGUUCAGGACAAGCGAAUGUGGAUUUUAAUCCUCCGGGACUAAUCUGCCUAAGAGGAGCAUGCGGAGGUAAUACACAGUGCGUUCAAAGAUGUGUUAGCAGUGGCCAUGGGAAAGGGGGCUCAUGCGUAGGAUUCAUUCCUGGGGUUAUCUUGUGCUGCUGUUACAAAUGACUUAUGAUGUCUUGUCGAUCCUUUUCAAUGUAUCAAAAUUAAAUAAACAUACCCUAAUUUAUCUUUGAAUCUUCGACAUAGGAUUAAUUUUGUGUAAAAGGAUCGAACUUGAUUAUCAAUGAAUGCAUUACUUUAAUUGAAAUAGUCUUUCACA
This is a long non-coding RNA of Glycine soja, 456 nucleotides long. RefSeq lists it as uncharacterized. The transcript is spliced from 2 exons. Lineage: Eukaryota; Viridiplantae; Streptophyta; Magnoliopsida; Fabales; Fabaceae. The record is from RefSeq and is a predicted model, not a curated record.